GAUGAAGAACGCAGCGAAAUGCGAUAAGUAAUGUGAAUUGCAGAAUUCAGUGGAUCAUCGAAUCUUUGAACGCACAUUGCGCCCGCCAGUAUUCUGGCGGGCAUGCCUGUUCGAGCGUCAUUUCAACCAUCAAGCCCCGGGCUUGUGUUGGGGACCUGCGGCUGCCGCAGGCCCUGAAAUGCAGUGGCGGGCUCGCUGUCACUCCGAGCGUAGUAGUUACAUCUCGCUCUGGGCGUGCUGCGGGUUCCGGCCGUUAAAAGCCUUAUUUACCCAAGGUUGACCUCGGAUCAGGUAGGAAGACCCGCUGAACUUAAGCAUAUCAAUAAGCGGAGGA
RNAcentral lists this unclassified non-coding RNA (334 nucleotides) under soil metagenome. Its description in RNAcentral is "partial contains 5.8S ribosomal RNA, internal transcribed spacer 2, and large subunit ribosomal RNA". The stretch from base 1 to 120 matches the Rfam family "5.8S ribosomal RNA", at positions 35 to 154 of the family's 154-position model. The record is from RNAcentral.